Lepisosteus oculatus (spotted gar) is the source of this 73-nucleotide transfer RNA. It matches the Rfam family "tRNA". Rfam says of the family: Transfer RNA (tRNA) molecules are approximately 80 nucleotides in length. Their secondary structure includes four short double-helical elements and three loops (D, anti-codon, and T loops). Further hydrogen bonds mediate the characteristic L-shaped molecular structure. tRNAs have two regions of fundamental functional importance: the anti-codon, which is responsible for specific mRNA codon recognition, and the 3' end, to which the tRNAs corresponding amino acid is attached (by aminoacyl-tRNA synthetases). tRNAs cope with the degeneracy of the genetic code in two manners: having more than one tRNA (with a specific anti-codon) for a particular amino acid; and 'wobble' base-pairing, i.e. permitting non-standard base-pairing at the 3rd anti-codon position. Lineage: Eukaryota; Metazoa; Chordata; Actinopteri; Semionotiformes; Lepisosteidae. The record is from Rfam.
GCCUGGAUAGGUCAGUUGGUAGAGCAUCAGAUUUUUAAUCUGAGGGUGCAGGGUUCAAGUCCCUGUUUGAGCA